UGCAGAUAGCAUCACAAUGGGCUGAAUUAAACUGCCUUGUCAAAAUGCUCUCCGCCGGGAGGGGGGCCACCAACAGCCGCCGCCUUGGCAGUGCAGCCGGAGCAGCACCCAGCAGGCAGCUCUGCCCACCCGGCCUCUGCCCAGGAUCGCUCUCCCCCAGCGCAGCCCCGGCACCCCGCCGGCAAUCUUCGCAUCGCUGCGGCACAAGGAGUCUUCAGAAAUGGUGCAGAGCAUCCACUUCGGAGAGGAGCUGCAGCCAGCAGCCUCGGGCGAGCCACAAGGAUGCUGAGGCAUUUCUGAGAGCGGGGGCAGGCCAGUGGGACCUGGCAGGCGAUGAGACAGGAGGACAAUACAACAGCCCAUUUGUGCUCCCAGCUCCCAGCCCCCCUGCCCUGCCCCAUGCCAUAGUAAGGCUGGUAUUCAGGAAUUAAUUGAUGUAAUUAAAGUGUGGCACGACUUUGCCACGGUCUCCAAACAGAGUGGCGGCGGGCCAGGGUCUGUGGGUGGAGGAGGAGCCUCCUGCGUGCUGUUCUCCAUAUAGAAAAAGGGCAGAUCUUGGGCAGAUCCAAGGCAUGAAAUUGGUAUAAAGAGAUUGUUGGGGAAGCAUAACGGUGCUGGUCUUGCCACCACCAGCAGCUGCAGGGCGAUAACUCAUUGCAGCGAGCUGCUGUAGCCCAUCCUGCCACGGCAGCACCUCUGACAGGAGGUGCUGGACCCAACACCACGCAGGGCCCGGGUUGUGCCCAGCUGGCUGGGCUCUGCGCUGGGUCCACGCCACAUCUCCUGAGCAUGGGCAGGGCUCACAUACGGGGCUGGGGGCUGCACGCGCAGGGUCCCCUCACCUCAUCCCAGAGCACACAUGACAGGACAGGGGCACCCUCCGGACUUCCCCUCUUCCCCUGCCCAUUGCGAGAGGCAGCACAAUUUAAGCAGUGACAGUAACAAUAUCCCAACACUGAGAGCACCCAGGGUGAGCGAACAGAGCCUGGCCCUGACUUCUGACUGCUUGCCCGUGCGGGAAUAAUUCUCCCACUGGGGUUCCAGUGUCAGAGGACUGCUGAGCCCUGGGCUAACCGCAGCACGCCAGCUGGAGCCCUCCCAGCUCCAUCCCAGCCUGGCAAAGUUAUUAGCAGCCCCCCUGGUGUUUUCAGCAGGCGGGGGAGAACUGAGCGCUGCAGCCUGGGGGGAGCGGGAUCCCACGCAGGGCUCUGCGGCGAGCUGGUGACAGG
This 1229-nucleotide long non-coding RNA is filed under the name Anser brachyrhynchus (Pink-footed goose). RNAcentral describes it as "lncRNA (ENSABRG00000001268.1)". Lineage: Eukaryota; Metazoa; Chordata; Aves; Anseriformes; Anatidae. The record is from RNAcentral.